RNAcentral lists this small RNA (298 nucleotides) under Homo sapiens (human). RNAcentral describes it as "Hum_SGMS1_233in2". The record is from RNAcentral. Lineage: Eukaryota; Metazoa; Chordata; Mammalia; Primates; Hominidae.
CAUAUUUAGUCAUUCAUUUUUGAUCAGGAGAAAGAAGACAGCCAUCAUUUGAAAGGUAAAGCUUCAGCGACUGAAGGAGUGUGGACUUUUUGAAUUUCAAGAACAGUAAAGUUGGAACACAGCAGAGGGUGUGUAAUAAAAUACAGAGUCUUAGAUAUAAACGAGUCAGUUGUGGGUCUCUGCCUGUGGAUGUGUUUCUUCUUCACAUGGAAUGCAGAAAAUUGAUGUUUGCUGUUGUGAAUUAGAGGCAUCAUCUCUCGUGACGACAGCAUGUACGAUCCCUGAAUGGGCCCGUGGG